AAGGAUCAGUCAUACAACUGCAGCAUCAAGUAAGUCACUGACGAGUGGAUAGACAUCCAAGUGACUACUUGCUUUGGUCACGCUCAGUACCCUUGUUCUCUAACAAGCACUUGCACAAUUGCUCCAGUGUCGCCACACUGUGGACUCAAGACUCGUCCAUCAAAGAAAACGAUCUGUGCACUAAUCUCAGCGGAUCGAUCACCGUCCUCGUGAUGAUCCAUCGAUCAAGAGCAAUUCAGAAAUUAAUCACCAAUGACACAUGCCUCAAAUUCUCAACUCUUG
Molecule: long non-coding RNA, 282 nt
Filed under: Phoenix dactylifera (date palm)
Lineage: Eukaryota; Viridiplantae; Streptophyta; Magnoliopsida; Arecales; Arecaceae
Description: long non-coding RNA (PDAC_LNC010556)
Source: RNAcentral